This 492-nucleotide ribosomal RNA is filed under the name uncultured bacterium. Its description in RNAcentral is "partial 16S ribosomal RNA". It matches the Rfam family "Bacterial small subunit ribosomal RNA", at positions 29 to 507 of the family's 1533-position model. The record is from RNAcentral.
AGUGAACGCUGGCGGUAGGCCUAACACAUGCAAGUCGAACGGCAGCACAGUAAGAGCUUGCUCUUACGGGUGGCGAGUGGCGGACGGGUGAGGAAUACAUCGGAAUCUACUUUUUCGUGGGGGAUAACGUAGGGAAACUUACGCUAAUACCGCAUACGACCUACGGGUGAAAGCAGGGGAUCUUCGGACCUUGCGCGAUUGGAUGAGCCGUUGUCGGAUUAGCUAGUUGGCGGGGUAAAGGCCCACCAAGGCGACGAUCCGUAGCUGGUCUGAGAGGAUGAUCAGCCACACUGGAACUGAGACACGGUCCAGACUCCUACGGGAGGCAGCAGUGGGGAAUAUUGGACAAUGGGCGCAAGCCUGAUCCAGCCAUACCGCGUGGGUGAAGAAGGCCUUCGGGUUGUAAAGCCCUUUUGUUGGGAAAGAAAAGCAGCAGGUUAAUACCCCGCUGUUCUGACGGUACCCAAAGAAUAAGCACCGGCUAACUUCGUG